Molecule: ribosomal RNA, 223 nt
Filed under: uncultured bacterium
Lineage: Bacteria
Description: partial 16S ribosomal RNA
Rfam family: Bacterial small subunit ribosomal RNA
Source: RNAcentral
UAACGCGUGGGUAACCUGCCUUAUACAGGGGAGUAACAGUCAGAAAUGGCUGCUAAUACCGCAUAAGCGCACAGAGCUGCAUGGCUCAGUGUGAAAAACUCCGGUGGUAUAAGAUGGACCCGCGUUGGAUUAGCUUGUUGGUGGGGUAACGGCCCACCAAGGCGACGAUCCAUAGCCGGCCUGAGAGGGUGAACGGCCACAUUGGGACUGAGACACGGCCCAG